RNAcentral lists this ribosomal RNA (257 nucleotides) under uncultured bacterium. RNAcentral's name for it is "partial 16S ribosomal RNA". It matches the Rfam family "Bacterial small subunit ribosomal RNA", at positions 99 to 354 of the family's 1533-position model. The record is from RNAcentral.
CGCACGGGUGAGUAACACGUAUGCAACCUGCCUGCCACAGCCGGAUAAUCGGGAGAAAUUCCGUCUAAUACGGCAUAAUGCAUCGACGGGACAUCCUGUUGGUGCCAAAGGUUGAUUCCGGUGGCGGAUGGGCAUGCGUCGCAUUAGUUAGUUGGCGGUGUAACGGACCACCAAGACGACGAUGCGUAGGGGUUCUGAGAGGAAGGUCCCCCACACUGGUACUGAGACACGGACCAAACUCCUACGGAAGGCAGCAG